UAUGUGAUCGUCUCUCGCAUAUCAAUAAGCGGAGGAAAAGAAACUAACAAGGAUUCCCCUAGUAACGGCGAGUGAAGCGGGAAGAGCUCAAAUUUGAAAUCUUAAAGGGUUUCCCUUUACGAAUUGUAGUUUAAAGAAGUGUUUUCUGUUGAGGUUUUGGUAAAAGUUCUUUGGAAUAGGACAUCAUAGAGGGUGAGAAUCCCGUAUUUGACCUUUACUUUCAACUUUGUGAUACACUUUCAAAGAGUCGGAUUGUUUGGGAAUGCAGUCCAAAAUGGGUGGUAAAUUUCAUCUAAAGCUAAAUAUUGGCGAGAGACCGAUAGCGAACAAGUACCGUGAGGGAAAGAUGAAAAGAACUUUGAAAAGAGAGUUAAACAGUACGUGAAAUUGUCAAAAGGGAAGCGUCUGACACCAGUGUUGUUUUUCUGAAAAUCAAUUAAAGAACUGUUUAUGCUAAGCUGUUUAGACUUUAUCAGCUAUCUGUUUAGUUUUGAGCUUUUCUUUAAUGCACUUUUCAGUUAACAAGUCAACAUCAAUUUCUUUUGCUGUAAAAAAGCUUGAGGAAGGUGGCUUGAGAUUCGUCUUAAGUGUUUAUAGCCUCUUGCCUAUGCAGUCGGAGAGAUUGAGGUCUGCAGCGUAGAUCCUUCGGGGCUAAAUGCAUUUGUGCUAAGUUAUAGCAUUUUAUAGACAACUUGUUGACUAUGAUUUGUCUUGUAGCUUACUCGCUUAUGUUAUUUUACCUACGCUUAGGAUGUUGAACGCGCACAGAGUCUC
Molecule: ribosomal RNA, 774 nt
Filed under: uncultured Neocallimastigales
Lineage: Eukaryota; Fungi; Neocallimastigomycota; Neocallimastigomycetes; Neocallimastigales
Description: partial large subunit ribosomal RNA
Rfam family: Eukaryotic large subunit ribosomal RNA
Source: RNAcentral